Molecule: ribosomal RNA, 121 nt
Filed under: Petromyzon marinus (sea lamprey)
Lineage: Eukaryota; Metazoa; Chordata; Hyperoartia; Petromyzontiformes; Petromyzontidae
Source: RNAcentral
GCCUACGACCAUCUCACCCUGAAUGCGCCCGAUCUCGUCUGAUCUCGGAAGCUAAGCAGAGUCCAGAGCCUGGUUAAUACUUGGAUGGGAGACUGCCUGGGAAUACUAGGUGAUGUAGGCU